AGCCCCGUGGUGUUAUCACGUUGGAUUGCAACCCCAAAAACGCCCCAAUUCGGUGCCGGGGCU
RNAcentral lists this transfer RNA (63 nucleotides) under Underwoodisaurus milii. RNAcentral's name for it is "tRNA-Cys". Lineage: Eukaryota; Metazoa; Chordata; Lepidosauria; Squamata; Carphodactylidae. The record is from RNAcentral.